RNAcentral lists this ribosomal RNA (300 nucleotides) under uncultured Acidianus sp. RNAcentral describes it as "partial 16S ribosomal RNA". It matches the Rfam family "Bacterial small subunit ribosomal RNA", at positions 496 to 795 of the family's 1533-position model. The record is from RNAcentral. Lineage: Archaea; Thermoproteati; Thermoproteota; Thermoprotei; Sulfolobales; Sulfolobaceae.
GCUAACACAGGGCAAGGAGCGGGGUGAAUACAGAGAAGGCAAGUGCGAUACGGGAUAACUGAGGAUAAAGGGUGCGCAGGCGUCCGUGGGUGCGAGGCGUGAAAGCCUGGAGCUUAACGCCAGAAUUGCACCUCAAACUACAGGGCGAGAGCAAUGGAGAGGGUAGCGGAAGUCACGGUGUAGCAGUGAAAUGCGUAGAUAUCGUGAGGAACACCAGAGGCGAAGGCGGCUACCUGGACAAUUGCUGACGCUCAGGCACGAAAGCGUGGGGAGCAAAAGGGAUUAGAUACCCUUGUAGUC